GGAUUGUGGCUCAGAGGUAGAGCGCUCGUCUGGCAUGCAUGAGGCAAUGGGUUCAAUCCUCAGCACCA
Molecule: transfer RNA, 68 nt
Filed under: Marmota monax (woodchuck)
Lineage: Eukaryota; Metazoa; Chordata; Mammalia; Rodentia; Sciuridae
Description: tRNA.Ala
Source: RNAcentral